ACCAAACAAUUCUUUAAGUUGUCCUGUGUG
This 30-nucleotide non-coding RNA is filed under the name Rattus norvegicus (Norway rat). The record is from RNAcentral. Lineage: Eukaryota; Metazoa; Chordata; Mammalia; Rodentia; Muridae.